GAUGAACGCUAGCUACAGGCUUAACACAUGCAAGUCGCGGGGCAGCAUGGGGGUUGCUUGCAAUCCCCGAUGGCGACCGGCGCACGGGUGAGUAACGCGUAUCCAACCUGCCCUUCACCACGGGAUAACCCGGCGAAAGUCGGACUAAUACCGUAUGUUGUCCAUUGACGGCACCCGAUUUGGACGAAAGGUUUGGGGGUGAAGGAUGGGGAUGCGUCCGAUUAGCUGGACGGCGGGGUGACGGCCCACCGUGGCGACGAUCGGUAGGGGUUCGGAGAGGAAGGUCCCCCAGACUGGAACUGAGACACGGUCCAGACUCCUACGGGAGGCAGCAGUGAGGAAUAUUGGGCAAUGGGCGUAAGCCUGAACCAGCCAAGUAGCGUGCAGGAUGACGGCCCUAUGGGUUGUAAACUGCUUUUAUGCGGGGAUAAAGUGGCCCACGUGUGGGUUUUUGCAGGUACCGCAUGAAUAAGGACCGGCUAAUUCCGUG
Molecule: ribosomal RNA, 490 nt
Filed under: uncultured bacterium
Lineage: Bacteria
Description: partial 16S ribosomal RNA
Rfam family: Bacterial small subunit ribosomal RNA
Source: RNAcentral